AGAUAAUAGAUACCCGGUAGUCCUGGCAGUAAACGGUGCGCGUUUGGUGUGGGAGGAUUCGACCCCUUCUGUGCCGGAGCUAAACGCGUUAAACGCGCCGCCUGGGGAGUACGGUCGCAAGAUUAAAACUACAAAGAAAUUGACGGGGGCCCGGCACAAGCGGUGGAGUAUGUGGCUUAAUUCGAUGCAACGCGAAGAACCUUACCUAGCCUUGACAUGCAUCUCUAAGUCGGUGGAAGCCGGCGACUAUAGCAAUAUAGAAUUUGUCACAGGUGCUGCAUGGCUGUCGUCAGCUCGUGUCGUGAGAUGUUGGGUUAAGUUCCCGCAACGAGCGCAACCCCUGUGAACUGUUGCCACCUACAUUCGUGUAGAGCACUCUGUUCAGACUGCCCUGUG
This 396-nucleotide ribosomal RNA is filed under the name uncultured bacterium. Its description in RNAcentral is "bacterial SSU rRNA". It matches the Rfam family "Bacterial small subunit ribosomal RNA", at positions 774 to 1158 of the family's 1533-position model. The record is from RNAcentral.